This is a long non-coding RNA of Papaver somniferum (opium poppy), 3360 nucleotides long. RefSeq lists it as uncharacterized. The transcript has 5 exons. The record is from RefSeq and is a predicted model, not a curated record. Lineage: Eukaryota; Viridiplantae; Streptophyta; Magnoliopsida; Ranunculales; Papaveraceae.
UCAAAAUGCAUCCCUUUCUUACGCUCUCAUCCAAUGUCCCAGAUUUAACUUAUUCACGCGUUACCCGAUCAUGUUCGACAGAGUUAUUCACAUCAUUUAAUCUCAUUCAUGCGCUGAAAGUCUCAGACGUUUCAUUCGUUGCCGUUCAAUAGAAUUGAAGGCCAGCCUUGAAUUCACUCACUGACCAUUUUUUCUUCUUUGCAAUCAAUGGGAUUAAACCCACAUAAUAUAUCUUUCCAGACGAUCCAAUAUAAUCCCAGUUCAGUGGAAUUAUAAACCUCAUGAAGAAUAUGUUCAAUUGAUCCAUUAUAAUAUCAGGGAUUCUCCGUUUUGGCAGCACGCAAUCAAGUAAUUUCAGAUUUAACUUAUUCAUGCGUUACCCGAUCAUCUUCGACAGAGUUAUUCGCAUCAUUUAAUCUCAUUCAUGCGGUGAAAGUCUCAGACGUUUCAUUCGUUACCGUUCAAUGGAAUUGAAGGCCAGCCUUGAAUUCACUCACUGACCGUUUUUAUUCUUUGCAAUCAAUGGGAUUAAACCCACACAAUAUAUCUUUCCAGACGAUCCAAUAUAAUCCCAGUUCAGUGGAAUUAUAAACCUCAUGAAGAAUAUGUUCAAUUGAUCCAUUAUAAUAUCGGGGAUUCUCCUUUAUGGCAGCACGCAAUCAAGUAAUUUCAGGAAUAACAACCAGGUGGAUUAGCUUUGCAUUCUUGAUGAGUACCGAUGGGAACUUUGGGAAUUCAUUCAGUCAUGGAUCAUAUGACGGUACUUGGAAAUCAUCAAUUCUCUUGCCUUUUUUUCCCUCAUUUUGUUACUUGGCUACCCGCUGCUUAAUUAAGUGAUCGUAGAUGAAGCUUCUAAUGGAUGCAAGUAUGCCAUUAUUUAGUUUUUCAUUCUACAAAGAUAUUCAUCCCCUUGUGACGAGUGAGACGAGAUAUUUUUCUCUUUCUCCAAAGUUAAACAUGGUUGAACAUACCUCAUAACAAGAAUUCCUAAUGUUUUCUUCAGGUCUUAUAUAUUUGAUGAUAUGCACAAUAUUUGUUAAAGCCUUUUAAUCUAUAUCUGACCAUAUGGACCUCUGGCUGUUCUAGGUAAUGGUCGGUCCACACUUUACAGUCAUCCACAAGAAUCGUGGUUGCAUUUUAAGAUUAAUAAGGUAUCAAAAAUAGUAUUUGAAGUUCUUUUAGACCUUACUGUGUUUUGACUUUUUAAAUCUCUUUAAAAUUAAGCUUGAUUGUUGAUUCUAUAGUAACACUUAUAAACUUCACCAUUUUUAAUUUAGAAGAGGUGGGGAGAAAAUAAGACUUCAAAUGAAGGACUCUGCAAGUGCUGAGUUGUUCAGAAUUCAGAUUCCAUGCUGCUUUGUUAAUAUGGUUUUCUUGGUUUGUUUUUGGAAAGAGAUUUAUUUUUUUGUGAUGAUUCUUGAGGUGAACACUAAUUUUAUUGUAGUUUGCAUCCAGCCAUUCAAGUUUGAAGAAUGUUAUUUCAUGGCUCUAAUUUGGCUUCAAUUGAGAAGUUCAAUUUAUGUCGGUUUAAUGGCGUUUAACAGUCAACCAUUUACUUAGAUUGACGAAGUUCCAAAUCUUCAUUGUUCGCUUUAGCGUCUGUUAUUUGACUAAGCUCAUUGUCCAAUCCGGUUCAUGAAAACUAUGGGAUUUGAUAGAGAAGAUAACCAUCAACCUGUGUAUAUUACAAUUGGGCUGCAAGUUUCAACACGGUGUGUUUCCUCUCUCCUUCAGGUUUAUGAUGUUUAUAAGGAUGAGUUUUUUGUCGCUGAAAUUUUUUCUUUUUAUGAAAUUUAUCUAACACAAUGACUUCUUUCAUACACUUUCUUAAAUUAGUUUUACUUUUCUUUUCUACAAAUACCUUAUAGUCUCUCUUCUUCAUAUUUAGUUGGUAAGAUGCUACCAAGGCACUUGAAUUGAUCAGUUCAACUAUCUAACUAUGACUAGCUAUCUUCAAUGUGCAGGUUUUCAUGUACUAUGAGUUUGUGCCAUUUGGUGCACUAUUAUUAUAUCCAUAUUUCUACUUGGUUUACUGUUUGAUUGCUUUAACUAGGGGGUUAGUAGCUAAUAAUGCAUUAACUGGCCGAUUGGUAUCCAUGUCAGUGCUAAAGCAUCAUUAUUAAAAUGAUACUUCUUUAAAUGUUAAACAUGAAUUGAAACUACUGACAGAAAUUUGUUCUACUGAGACCAUGGAUACCGAGGCUUAACUAUGCGCCUACUUCUUUGUUUUCUGUUUUGUAUUAAAGAAAUAAGCAUUUUUUAUUUCUUUAGAUGAGCCAUAAGAAAUCUACCAUAUGUUUCAUAAAUCUUCCCAAGUCGGCGAAUUUAAUUACGUUCUGCUGAUGUUUUGAAAGAACUUUUUGAUACAGGUUCACUUGCAGAUCCUCGCUUUUAAGUUGGUGAACAAAUGACUUUUGCUUCAAAGGUACGAAGUUCUGAACUGUCUUACUUGCUUUUAAGUUCUUUGUCGUGUAUUUCUUAGCUUAUGCUUCAUGGGUUUCAGAUAUUAGACAUAAGAUGUAACAUAUCAAUUGUGAUUCAUAAGAUUUGUCCAGAUCAGUUGUUUCUUGACCAAGUUCGAAAGUUGCAGCCCGUUUAGAUGGAUAGUGUGUCAUGGAAAACUUUUGAGACUCAAACUACAUAGACCUUAUCACAGGAGUAAAGACAAUUCAAUUGCUAAACUUUAUCUUGCUUUAAGAUAGUGUUCAACUGCCUAAUGAUCAAUAAUCAGAGUUCUUUCCUGGACUCUUUCGAAAAAGUUGAGGUGAUUAAUAGGGGCAUAAUUGCAAUUGGAGGAGAACAAUAUUUAUAACUGUUUUGCAUAACAAAUCUUUCUUUUUGCGUUUCGUUUUAUGAUGCCUUGCUGCGGUGGACAUAUAUUUUAACUUUUCUAGAAGCUAUUCACACCUUUAUAAAAACGGAAUUCUGUAGAAGGGGAGCUGCCGGUAUCUAUAAAGAUCACCACAGUAGCAUCAAACUUUGUACGUAACAACUCUCAGCUGAAACAUCGAUACCUGGGUCGGUCAUCAGUAUAUAUACAUAGAAGUUAAAUUGCCAUCACCACUUCGAAGAGCAAUCAAUUACCAUGCAUGUCCCUAACAAGAAAUGGAUUUGGAUAACUGAAUGAGUAUAUUCUUAUAAAACCUAUUAUGUGAGUGUAAAAGUUCUUUUCAAGCAUGAUUGUAGCUUCUAUACAAAAUGGUUUUGGAAACAAAAUUUGGAUGACAGUUUUUGGAUACUAAAGUUACACCAAAUUCAUCAAUGCGGUUCAUUCCAUCAUGCGAAAACAUUUGUAAUAACUGAACUGUCAUUUGUAACCCGAAUGUUGAUUCCCUAAACCAAUUUAUUGAUCAGAAUUUU